UCGCAGGCAGGUUUGCCAGUGAAAGAUGCAGAGGCGGAGUGUAGAGCCUGUGUGAUUGGCAGACCCUUGCUCCCUCCCUUCCAGACGUAGACUGAGUUCUUUGCUAACACCUAUUGCUAUUUCCUUUGGAUCCAGGAACCGUCUCCUUUCUCCUUUAGCAGGAAGAAGCUGGAUGGUCGCAUUUCAUACAGAAACUGGGACGGAUCAGUGCAGAACACAGGCAUCGUCUAUCAAGGGGACCAGCAGUCAGCAGUUCGGCGGAGUGAAGAAGCCCUUCUGUGCCUCCCUCCGCAAAAACAGCAACAACAACGAAAAUGCAAAAGAAUUAACCUACCAGUAUUUGUAAAUCCCAGACAAUCCGAAUAGUAUCUAUUUCUUUCGCGUCUCAGUUAGGUAGAGGGAAAUGAAGGAGAAAGGAGGAAUCAGCACCUUCUUCCCUCCCUGAGCCUAAAUACUACUGUGCUGUGAGUGGGGAGGAAUGUUUAAAAUUAAAUUGGAUUAUGAUAAAGCCAAAUUGAUUCAAACCUGGGACAGAAUCUCCUCUGGGUAGGAAAUAUGCUCUCCUGAUAAAAUGCGUAAGCAGUUUUCUGAUCCACUGUAAUAAAAUGAAACUUCUGGAAAGCUAGCUACUUACUUGCUUAUGGUGGUACAUAUCUGUAAUCCCUGGGAAGCUGAGGCAGGAGGAUCACAAGUGUGAGCACAGUCUGGGCAGUACAAAUACCGCAGGUUCAAUUUCCAGUGCUGCAAAGACAAAUACAUUUUUUUUUUAAUUUAGGGGAAGAAAUGUUGAUGAAGUAAUUUUGGUUGUCCCUGAAAUCAGUUGUAUCUUAAUAUAAAGUUUGUGAGGAAUCACUCUUAACUGACCCUUUGUGGCGAUAAAUUAGAUUUACAGGUGAUACCUCCUCAGUUCAAAUGUCAUUUGGACAAAGAAACUAUAGUUUUUCCACGCCAUGUUGGAACUUAGGACGCUGGGAAACCAAGCGAACAGCUCCCCUCCCUGGUAAGUGGCUGUGGUGUGACAGGCUGCGGCCACCCCAGGGGGAGAACCACCAGUCUCUCCUGAGAUCUGCACCAUGUUGGAACUUAGGACACUGGGAAACCAAGCAACCAGCUGGUAAGCAACAGUGAGCCUACUGGUGCACGGCCUAGAGUCAAACAUCCCACUUCCCCUGCCCGCUCUUAGCAAAUGGGAACCAGAGAUCUGAGCAUCUCUUGGGAGGUUGACCAUAUGCAAUAUAGCACAUAAGGGGGAUUUCCUUCUACCAUCUCUUUGAAGGCAAAUAUUUUUACUAAUGUUUUGCUUUAUUCUGAUUAAUGGUAUUGCUCUAUUCAAUAUUCUGUUUUGAUAAGUUCUAUAAUGUUCUGUAUUUCAUUUUAUUUUGAUAUAUGUGAUUGAAAGAACAACCAUUGUGACGAUAACGAGAUAUACUGUGGUACCUAUUACUGUUAUUCUGGUAACCUGCUGUGAAGUUCUGUACCAGUGUCACUAUACUGUCUCACUUGGAUUUGUUCUGUCUUGUUCUGUGGUAUUUUACUACCUUCAAAAUAAAAAAAUAAAAAUAAAAAAAGAAA
Long non-coding RNA from Cavia porcellus (domestic guinea pig), 1572 nucleotides. RefSeq lists it as uncharacterized. The transcript has 2 exons. NCBI's taxonomy places the organism in Eukaryota, Metazoa, Chordata, Mammalia, Rodentia, Caviidae. The record is from RefSeq and is a predicted model, not a curated record.